This 75-nucleotide transfer RNA is filed under the name Chloroflexota bacterium. RNAcentral describes it as "tRNA-Asp". It matches the Rfam family "tRNA". From Rfam's summary of the family: Transfer RNA (tRNA) molecules are approximately 80 nucleotides in length. Their secondary structure includes four short double-helical elements and three loops (D, anti-codon, and T loops). Further hydrogen bonds mediate the characteristic L-shaped molecular structure. tRNAs have two regions of fundamental functional importance: the anti-codon, which is responsible for specific mRNA codon recognition, and the 3' end, to which the tRNAs corresponding amino acid is attached (by aminoacyl-tRNA synthetases). tRNAs cope with the degeneracy of the genetic code in two manners: having more than one tRNA (with a specific anti-codon) for a particular amino acid; and 'wobble' base-pairing, i.e. permitting non-standard base-pairing at the 3rd anti-codon position. Lineage: Bacteria; Bacillati; Chloroflexota. The record is from RNAcentral.
GGUGCAUUAGUAUAAUGGCAAUUAUCUUUGACUGUCUAUCUCAGGAUACGGGUUCAAUUCCCGUAUGCACCGCCA